CAGUUUGUGUACCUGCAGGACCUAAAAAUCCAACUUCAUUUUCUGCUCUUUUCUUUUUUUCUUAUUAAAGACUUACUCUGUCAGAAAGUCAGCUCUGUGGUGGACAAGUGACCCCAUGCCUGGUAAUAGCUGUCUCCUCCCUCAAGUUCUUGCUUUAUCGAGCUGUGGUCUUGGUGUUGGAGCGUGCCUUUGUGGAAAGGAGUUGUCUAUUACAUCUGGAUUGCAAUCAUCCUGAUCCCUUUUCUUCUCAAACCAUAUACUUCCGUGUCCUUCAGCAGUCCAAGAUGAGUUUUUCAUGAGACAUCUACCAAAUCACAACAGCGGAGAGAUGGAGAAGAAAGAGGAAAAACAAAAACCUUGGGAUCACCUACAUGAAGUU
Molecule: long non-coding RNA, 379 nt
Organism: Lepidothrix coronata (blue-crowned manakin)
Lineage: Eukaryota; Metazoa; Chordata; Aves; Passeriformes; Pipridae
Exons: 4
Source: RefSeq, a predicted model, not a curated record